UUAAUUUUAGUUGCCUARGCUACUCUUUUCCUUAGAGAGAUGAGAAAUAAUGAUAAUGAAAAGCAGCUAGUAGGCUGUCUCUGGUGUUCCCUGCUUCUUUCAAUCAAGAUGUCCCAGGAGUUAUGCUGGUGAAGUUAGGCAUGAGUUUUGUCUGUGCAGUUUCAGACUUGUGGAUAUGAAGCACCGCUGGGGAACUCAUCAGCAAGGUCGGUUCAUGAUGACCCUGUUUCCCUGCUAGAGCAUGAAUGACCAAACACCAGAGYUCCCA
Long non-coding RNA from Nothoprocta perdicaria, 268 nucleotides. RefSeq lists it as uncharacterized. NCBI's taxonomy places the organism in Eukaryota, Metazoa, Chordata, Aves, Tinamiformes, Tinamidae. The record is from RefSeq and is a predicted model, not a curated record. The transcript is spliced from 3 exons.